Molecule: ribosomal RNA, 510 nt
Filed under: uncultured bacterium
Lineage: Bacteria
Description: partial 16S ribosomal RNA
Rfam family: Bacterial small subunit ribosomal RNA
Source: RNAcentral
GACGAACGCUGGCGGCGUGCUUAACACAUGCAAGUCGAACGAAGAGCGACGGAAGCUUGCUUCUAUCAAUCUUAGUGGCGCACGGGUGAGUAACGCGUAAUCAACCUGCCCUUCAGAGGGGGACCACAGUUGGAAACGACUGCUAAUACCGCAUACGAUCUAAUCUCGGCAUCGAGGAUGGAUGAAAGGUGGCCUCUACAUGUAAGCUAUCACUGCAGGAGGGGAUUGCGUCUGAUUAGCUAGUUGGAGGGGUAACGGCCCACCAAGGCGAUGAUCAGUAGCCGGUCUGAGAGGAUGAACGGCCACAUUGGGACUGAGACACGGCCCAGACUCCUACGGGAGGCAGCAGUGGGGAAUCUUCCGCAAUGGACGAAAGUCUGACGGAGCAACGCCGCGUGAGGGAUGACGGCCUUCGGGUUGGAAAGCUCUGUUAAUCGGGACGAAAGGCCUUCUUGCGAAUAGUGAGAAGGAUUGACGGUACCGGAAUAGAAAGCCACGGCUAACUACGUG